This 582-nucleotide small RNA is filed under the name Homo sapiens (human). RNAcentral describes it as "MUC20 overlapping transcript (ENSG00000280993.2)". Lineage: Eukaryota; Metazoa; Chordata; Mammalia; Primates; Hominidae. The record is from RNAcentral.
AACCUUUGCUGUCUUGGGACGGAUCACCACUGCAAGAGGGGAAGUUGCUACUGUGAUGAAUUCUGCCAUGUGGCACCAGACUGCCACCCAGACCACAGUGUCCUCUGCAACCCUGGUCAAAGGUGCCUACAUGCUCCUUCUAGCUUUGUUUCCCUGAUGUUCCUUGCCACCUGCUACUCCUCUCUGAGCUACUUUUCCAGCUUCUCAGAUGACCAAGAUGGUGCUGCAGAUGGUGCUGAGGAUGGAGAACCCACCAAGCCCCGCUAGGAGCCACCUAGACUGGAUGCAGAGCAUGGCUAAAACCUUUGAAGAAGAAUUUAUUAUAUCCUACAAACCUGGGAGGCAGAGGUUGCAGUGAGCCAAGAUUGGGCCAUCGCACUCCAGCCUGGGCAAUAAGAAUGAAACUCUGUCUCAAAAAAAACAAAAGUUGGCCAGGGCUGGGCGUGGUGGCUCACACCUGUAAUCCCAGCACUUUGGGGGGCUAAAGCAGGUGGAUCACCUGAGGUCAGAAGUACGAGACCAUCAUGGCUAAUAUGGUGAAACCCCAUCUCUACUAAAAAUACGAAAAAAGAAAAAAAAAAU